GACGAACGCUGGCGGCGCGCUUAACACAUGCAAGUCGAGCGAUGAAACUUUAACAGAGCCCUUCGGGGCGAAGAUAAAGUGGAUUAGCGGCGGACGGGUGAGUAACACGUGAGUAACCUGCCUUAGACAUUGGGAUAGCCUCGGGAAACCGGGAUUAAUACCAAAUCAAAUCAUAAUGACACAUGUCAUAACGAUCAAAACUCCGGUGGUCUAAGAUGGACUCGCGUCCCAUUAGCUAGUUGGUAGAGUAAAAGCCUACCAAGGCGGCGAUGGAUAGACGGCCUAAAAGGGUGAGAGGCGACGCCGGACCUGAGAGAGGGACGAGACUCCUGAGGGAGGCAGACGGAGGAAACCUUCCGCGAUGGGCGAAAGGGGGAAGGAGCAACGAGGGGGGAGAGAUGAAGGUCGCCGGACCGUAAAAAUCAGUAAUGAUUUAAGAACAUAAGUGUAAUUAAAUGUGCACAUCUUGACGGUACCUAAUAAGAAAGCCCCGGCUAACUACGUG
Molecule: ribosomal RNA, 505 nt
Filed under: uncultured bacterium
Lineage: Bacteria
Description: partial 16S ribosomal RNA
Rfam family: Bacterial small subunit ribosomal RNA
Source: RNAcentral